CUACGUAGGGGGCGAGCGUUGUCCGGAAUGAUUGGGCGUAAAGGGCGCGUAGGCGGCCCGGUAAGUCUGGAGUGAAAGUCCUGUUUUUAAGAUGGGAAUUGCUUUGGAUACUGUCGGGCUUGAGUGCAGGAGAGGUAAGUGGAAUUCCCAGUGUAGCGGUGAAAUGCGUAGAGAUUGGGAGGAACACCAGUGGCGAAGGCGACUUACUGGACUGUAACUGACGCUGAGGCGCGAAAGUGUGGGGAGCAAACAGGAUUAGAUACCCUGGUAGUCCACACUGUAAACGAUGAAUACUAGUUGUAGGAGGUAUCGACCCCUUCUGUGCCGUCGUUAACACAAUAAGUACCCCGCCUGGGGAGUACGGUCGCAAGACUAAAACUCAAAUGAAUUGACGGGG
RNAcentral lists this ribosomal RNA (397 nucleotides) under uncultured bacterium. RNAcentral describes it as "partial 16S ribosomal RNA". It matches the Rfam family "Bacterial small subunit ribosomal RNA", at positions 523 to 918 of the family's 1533-position model. The record is from RNAcentral.